RNAcentral lists this ribosomal RNA (461 nucleotides) under uncultured bacterium. RNAcentral describes it as "partial 16S ribosomal RNA". It matches the Rfam family "Bacterial small subunit ribosomal RNA", at positions 28 to 523 of the family's 1533-position model. The record is from RNAcentral.
GAUGAACGCUGGCGGCGUGCCUAAAACAUGCAAGUCGUGCGGCAGCAUGCCCUUCGGGGUGAUGGCGAGCGGCGGACGGCUGAGUAACGCGUGGGAACGUGCCCCAAAGUGAGGGAUAACUGCCCGAAAGGGUGGCUAAUACCGCAUAUGGUCUCCGGAUUAAAGCUUCGGCGCUUUGGGAGAGGCCCGCGUUGGAUUAGGUAGUUGGUGGGGUAAUGGCCUACCAAGCCGACGAUCCAUAGCUGGUUUGAGAGGAUGAUCAGCCACACUGGGACUGAGACACGGCCCAGACUCCUACGGGAGGCAGCAGUGGGGAAUCUUAGACAAUGGGGGAAACCCUGAUCUAGCCAUGCCGCGUGAUCGAUGAAGGCCUUAGGGUUGUAAAGAUCUUUCAGGUGGGAAGAUAAUGACUGUACCACCAGAAGAAGCCCCGGCUAACUCCGUGCCAGCAGCCGCGGUAA